This 914-nucleotide long non-coding RNA is filed under the name Homo sapiens (human). RNAcentral's name for it is "long intergenic non-protein coding RNA 1487". The record is from RNAcentral. Lineage: Eukaryota; Metazoa; Chordata; Mammalia; Primates; Hominidae.
AAGGAGAGUGUGGGCAGCUGGAGCCAGUUAGCACUGCCUCUAAGGUCUCCUGCAACUCACCCACCCACCCCUCUUACUCCAUGGUAUUCAACUUCUAAACUAAGAGGAAAGCCCGAGCUAGAGGUCCUAUGCAUCAAUCAGGGAAGAGAUAUUGAGAAGAAUAAACAGAGAAACUGUAUUUUUUCUCUCAACUAAAACAUCCAUUUUAAUCAAUAUUUGGCAAGAAAAUAUAUACCUGUUUCAUCUUCACUGGUUAUUUCCAUAAACUGGAAAGAAGGACUGUCUAAAUGAAUAGCUGAGAUCAACCUUGAUUGCCUUUUAAGUCGAGUAAAUUGGAGGACAGGCUGCCCAGUAUCUUAGUUCUUCUAAGACUGCUUGCAAACCAGAAAGUGUGAACAGUGUGAUGACGAAUGCUCUUAAGACCAGGAGUUCAAGCUUAACUCCCAACCCCUUGAGUGUGGGCUAGACUUAGUGACCUGCUUCUAAGGAAUAGAGUAUGGAAAGAGGAAAAUAGCAACAUUACAGGAGAGAAACCUGAAAGCAACUUAACCAAGUGAUCACAGAAUCACUGGUAAUAACUCUUGUUGAUAUCAUGUGCCCCCAAUACAGUAUGAUGAAAAGACCCAUCAUCUCGGUGAUAUUUAUCCUCAAAAUCUAUAAUCUUACAACAAUUAUGAGAAAAUAUAGACAAACCCAAUUUGAAAGGAAGCAAGUCUACAAGAUACUUAACCAGUACUUUACAAAAGUGACAAGGUCACAAAAGACAGCACAAGACUGAGAAACUCACAGAUUGGAGGAAGCCAAAGAGACAUCAUGGCUGAGAUCAUGGUGGUGGAACCCUGGUUUGGAUCCUGGAACAGAAAAAAAGAACACUAAGUGGAAAAACUGAUGAAAUAUAAAUAACAUAAUAAAAA